This 839-nucleotide ribosomal RNA is filed under the name Bacillus pumilus. RNAcentral describes it as "bacterial SSU rRNA". It matches the Rfam family "Bacterial small subunit ribosomal RNA", at positions 41 to 861 of the family's 1533-position model. The record is from RNAcentral. Lineage: Bacteria; Bacillati; Bacillota; Bacilli; Caryophanales; Bacillaceae.
GGCGCAGCGCGGCUAUCUGCAGUCGAGCGGACAGAAGGGAGCUUGCUCCCGGAUGUUAGCGGCGGACGGGUGAGUAACACGUGGGUAACCUGCCUGUAAGACUGGGAUAACUCCGGGAAACCGGAGCUAAUACCGGAUAGUUCCUUGAACCGCAUGGUUCAAGGAUGAAAGACGGUUUCGGCUGUCACUUACAGAUGGACCCGCGGCGCAUUAGCUAGUUGGUGAGGUAAUGGCUCACCAAGGCGACGAUGCGUAGCCGACCUGAGAGGGUGAUCGGCCACACUGGGACUGAGACACGGCCCAGACUCCUACGGGAGGCAGCAGUAGGGAAUCUUCCGCAAUGGACGAAAGUCUGACGGAGCAACGCCGCGUGAGUGAUGAAGGUUUUCGGAUCGUAAAGCUCUGUUGUUAGGGAAGAACAAGUGCGAGAGUAACUGCUCGCACCUUGACGGUACCUAACCAGAAAGCCACGGCUAACUACGUGCCAGCAGCCGCGGUAAUACGUAGGUGGCAAGCGUUGUCCGGAAUUAUUGGGCGUAAAGGGCUCGCAGGCGGUUUCUUAAGUCUGAUGUGAAAGCCCCCGGCUCAACCGGGGAGGGUCAUUGGAAACUGGGAAACUUGAGUGCAGAAGAGGAGAGUGGAAUUCCACGUGUAGCGGUGAAAUGCGUAGAGAUGUGGAGGAACACCAGUGGCGAAGGCGACUCUCUGGUCUGUAACUGACGCUGAGGAGCGAAAGCGUGGGGAGCGAACAGGAUUAGAUACCCUGGUAGUCCACGCCGUAAACGAUGAGUGCUAAGUGUUAGGGGGUUUCCGCCCCUUAGUGCUGCAGCUAACGCAUU